UAACGCGUGGGUAACCUGCCGUAUACAGGGGGAUAACACUUAGAAAUAGGUGCUAAAACCGCAUAAGCGCACAGGAUCGCAUGGUCCGGUGUGAAAAACUCCGGUGGUAUACGAUGGACCCGCGUCUGAUUAGCUUGUUGGCGGGGUAGAGGCCCACCAAGGCGACGAUCAGUAGCCGGCCUGAGAGGGUGAACGGCCACAUUGGGACUGAGACACGGCCCAAACUCCUACGGGAGGCAGCAGUGGGGAAUAUUGCACAAUGGGGGAAACCCUGAUGCAGCGACGCCGCGUGAGUGAAGAAGUAUUUCGGUAUGUAAAGCUCUAUCAGCAGGAAAGAAAAUGACGGUACCUGACUAAGAAGCCCCGGCUAACUACGUGCCAGCAGCCGCGGUAAUACGUAGGGGGCAAGCGUUAUCCGGAUUUACUGGGUGUAAAGGGAGCGUAGACGGUGAAGCAAGUCUGAAGUGAAAGGCGGGGGCUCAACCCCCGGACUGCUUUGGAAACUGUUUGACUGGAGUGCAGGAGAGGUAAGUGGAAUUCCUAGUGUAGCGGUGAAAUGCGUAGAUAUUAGGAGGAACACCAGUGGCGAAGGCGGCUUACUGGACUGUAACUGACGUUGAGGCUCGAAAGCGUGGGGAGCAAACAGGAUUAGAUACCCUGGUAGUCCACGCGGUAAACGAUGAUCACUAGGUGU
RNAcentral lists this ribosomal RNA (694 nucleotides) under uncultured bacterium. Its description in RNAcentral is "bacterial SSU rRNA". It matches the Rfam family "Bacterial small subunit ribosomal RNA", at positions 111 to 823 of the family's 1533-position model. The record is from RNAcentral.